This 32-nucleotide non-coding RNA is filed under the name Mus musculus (house mouse). The record is from RNAcentral. Lineage: Eukaryota; Metazoa; Chordata; Mammalia; Rodentia; Muridae.
UGGACAAGCUGACCUGAAAUCAUACUCACCCC